GGGUCAGUAGGUUGGUCGUGCCACCGGUACGUACUGGUCUCACUGAUUCCUCCUUCCCGAAGAACCGUAGUGCCAUUAAUUUGGUGUUGCGGGGAAACAGGACUGUUACUUUGAAAAAAUUAGAGUGUUUAAAGCAAGCUAACGCUUGAAUACAUUAGCAUGGAAUAAUGAAAUAGGACGAUCGAUCCUAUUUUGUUGGUUUCUAGGAUUGACGUA
This 216-nucleotide ribosomal RNA is filed under the name Glomeromycotina sp. Its description in RNAcentral is "partial small subunit ribosomal RNA". The stretch from base 75 to 216 matches the Rfam family "Eukaryotic small subunit ribosomal RNA", at positions 721 to 864 of the family's 1831-position model. Lineage: Eukaryota; Fungi; Glomeromycota. The record is from RNAcentral.